GACGAACGCUGGCGGCGUGCUUAACAGAUGCAAGUCGAACGGAAAGGCCCUGCUUGCAGGGUACUCGAGUGGCGAACGGGUGAGUAACACGUGGGUGAUCUGCCCUGCACUUCGGGAUAAGCCUGGGAAACUGGGUCUAAUACCGGAUAGGAGCCAUUUUUAGUGUGAUGGUUGGAAAGUUUUUUCGGUGUAGGAUGAGCUCGCGGCCUAUCAGCUUGUUGGUGGGGUAAUGGCCUACCAAGGCGGCGACGGGUAGCCGGCCUGAGAGGGUGGACGGCCACAUUGGGACUGAGAUACGGCCCAGACUCCUACGGGAGGCAGCAGUGGGGAAUAUUGCACAAUGGGCGCAAGCCUGAUGCAGCGACGCCGCGUGGGGGAUGACGGCCUUCGGGUUGUAAACUCCUUUCGCUAGGGACGAAGCUUUUUGUGACGGUACCUAGAUAAGAAGCACCGGCUAACUACGUG
This 465-nucleotide ribosomal RNA is filed under the name uncultured bacterium. Its description in RNAcentral is "partial 16S ribosomal RNA". It matches the Rfam family "Bacterial small subunit ribosomal RNA", at positions 28 to 507 of the family's 1533-position model. The record is from RNAcentral.